CGUAAGUACGCCACUUACGCAUUCCGGCGGAACAAUUAUUAAAUGAAAGCAUAUUAGCAGGAGGAAGAGCGGGGACUCGCUCGCUCACUCAGAGGAGGAGCCGGGACUCAGAGUUGCCAGAGCAGUCAGCAUUAGAGGAACACCACAGUUCUCCGCUGCCACCUGUUGAACGUAGUACAAUAAUGAAGGCACCGCCCCACAUAUGCAGGGGCGGCACCCUGUGCACAUUGCUCUUACCAGCAGUGCCAUAGUGAGACACCUGGGGCUGCGAGACAUGAUGAUGCAAAGGAGUCUGGAGACCGGGGCACAGUCAGGGCAGGCAGGUAAGUCUGUGUGCUCAGCAGCUCUGGGAAACUCACCGAGUACCCUGGUCGGGAUGAUCCACAUCGGCCACAGAGCCUCUCUGUACUGGUCCUAGUAUUCAGCGAAUGUGGGUCCCACAGCUGCAGAGCCAGCUAUUUAAUGGCAGUCAGGGGAUUGGAGGAAGGGGGGGGUAGGGGUUCAGGUAUUGUACAGUUUAGAGAAUUAAUAGUAUCCCUUGACAACGGGGAUGGAGAGAUGGAGAUACAUGGGGCGAUCCCGGCUACAGUGGCCGAGAGGAGGGCAAUCCUUUCUUCUCUGUAAAAGCAAGCCAGAUCUACUGUUAAAACAGAAAGAACCACAGGACCCCAGAGCGGUCAGCUGCUAUACGCUCUGAAGACUACACCCUGAGAUCAUUUAGCACUGACAAAUUUGUACGGGAGAUACAGGAGAAAAACAGGCGAAACAGAAACAGAAGAUCUGUGGUUAGCAUGCCCAAGUGGUGGAGACUGUAUUAUGCUGUGCGAGGAUGAAGCCAAUGGCUACUAGGGGUCAGGAGUUUUCUCAAGCUUAGGACCCGGCUGAUGCACCUCACUCUAUCACCAGCCAUAUUGCUUAUCAGGCUGGGAGAAGAGACUCCAUGGAGCGAGGUGAGCCCCUUGUAACCCCCGUUCCAUCUCUACAUGAGCUUCCCGCAGCCAUCACUAAAGCUGCCUGCAUACAAGCGGUGCACAAACAAGGGGCUCACGAUGUUCCAUUACCUGCUCCGGUAGAUUUCACAGUGCUUAAGCUACUAAUUAGAGAAGCUCCAGCAAUCCUUCAGCCCCACUUAGCUGUGAAAUGGGAUGAGAUCAAGAGAGACAUAGAAUAUAAUUUAAAACCUGAUCACAAUGCACAGAAUGCCCUUAAACGACUCCCUGCUAAGGUGGAAUUAAUACACGGCACUGUUCACUACAGUCAUGAAAUGGGCUGGGACAAUACAGUAGCAGACAAACUAAGUUCAGAGUUCCAGGCUAUGGAUUAUAAGGUGAGAACCAUGAAAGACAGAGCAGAGGCUCAACCAGAAAGAAGUGAGCUUAAAAGAAAAAGUGUAAACAGAAUCUUGAGAAUGUAGAACACCUUUGUGAAGAAGGGCAUCAGCUUAAGGCAUUCCUAGAGCUACAAUGCUCAGCCAACUGACCAGCAUUACCUUGGGGUUAAUUAAAGCAUUCCAGAAAUGUGGUUGUUGUGAAAAAAAUAAACAUAUGUGACCCCUCUAUCACCAAGAGAAAGAAAGGGGGAUAACCCCUUUAUCUUCCUAGGAGAACUGAAAGGUGUUAUAAGGAGACACAUAGCAGAUACAACCACUUUAAACCAGCUUCAGAUCCCCCAGCAAAGGCAGAGAGAACAGCCCCAAAAUAAAGAAGAAAUUUCUUACCUCGUCCCAAGGACCAGAACUCACACUCCAAAGGAAACAGUCUCCAGGUAGAGAUGCUGCCCCUAUGGCUGCCAGCCCUUAAAUGAGCUCAGGGAGGGAUGCAGCCAGGCUCUACCCUGUCCAAUCCCACGGGUGAAUGGCUUCCACCUGUGCUGGCAGGGCUGGCUACACCCCUCACAAGGUGCUCAAUCACCAGUCCAGGCUGUGACCUGACAGUUCCUAUACUGGGAUAAAGCCAAAAAAAAGAGUACAAAAAAUAUCUGGCAAGAGGGGGUUUAUCAAUGAUGAGCUACGAUGGCCCACAUACUUUGAUUCCAGUUGGUCCUCAAAGGCACUUGGUGACAUUUCUACUUGAUAGGGGAGCACAAAUUUCAAUACUAACACACCCUACUGGACUCCGAGCACCCUCCCAGUGUAUUCCAGAACACUCGACCAGAUGCCCCAAGUCCUCCAGGACUUUGCAGUGCACCGCCAAGGCAUCCCUGGGUCAUCCCAUGGACUCGAGGGCACACGAGCAGAGUGCCAGAGCCUGCCUAUGAUACCGUGAGAUGAUCGAUCAGGAAACGCUCUAAGACACAGGUGUGGGGUGCUGAGGGGCAGCACUGUGGGGUGGUGAUGUGGCUGCUUCUAUAGGAUGGCAGUAUGGGAUGACACUAUAGAGCAGCACUGUGGGGUGGUGCUAUGGGGUGACACCAUGCUGCCCAAUAGCACCUGGAGGGCCGCACUGUGGAUCCAGGGCUCUGGCACUUUGGGACCGAGGAUCUGAUGGGGGACGGACUGACGGACCUUGUGGUGGGGAUGUGCGGAUACACCACAGUGAUGAGGUGGGGCAGGGGGAUGCAAGGGGAUGUGGGGACAUGUGGGGCAGGAGGGGAUGUGGGGACAUGGGAUUUGGGGGGACUGGGGUUGGGAUGGGGACAGGAUUGGGGAUGGGAGUUGGACAUGGGAUUGGGAUUGGGAUUGGGAUUAGGGAUGGGAUGGGAAGGGGUGGGUGUAGCGCUGGACGAGCAGUGCCAGCCCAACCUGGCGGUGACAGUGACACCUCGUGCCACGCUGCCACUGGGCGGCCACGUGGCCAGCGUGACCGUGGUGCUGAUGCUGCGCAGCUGCAGCGAGGACACACACAGGGCCACCGGCACCAUCCAGCACCCCCCGGGGACAGAGUUCUGCAGGGUCAGGGCCACCUCAGUGAGGGCAACUGUCCCUGUGUCCCCAAAAUGUCCUCAAUGUCUGUCCUCAUGUCCCAGUGUCCCCAGUCCCCUCAAUGUCCCCACAAUGUCCCCAACGUCCCUCUCCAUGUCCCAAUGUCCCCAAUGUCCUCACAUCCCCCAAUGUCCCCAGUGUCCCCACAUCGUCCCCUAUGUUCCCACAUACCCCAAUGUCCCCACAAUGUACCCAAUGUCCCCACAUCCCCCAGCGUCCCCGGUGUCCCCUUGAUAUCCCCCAACAUCUCCAGUGUCCCCACAAUGUCCCCCUCCAUGUCCCCAUUGUCCCCAGACGUCCCCACAUCCCCAGUGCCCAUCAACUGCCAGGACGCAGUAGUGACAGUGCCAGUGACAGCAGGGACAGUGACAAGGACACUGCUGUGCUAUGUGGGCCACCUCGUGCUGUGCGCUGACACCACGGUGACGUCAUGGGGACGUGGUGGGACACGAGGACACAAAGAGGGCACGGAGACAUGAGGGGGAUGCAGGGACAUAGAGGGGACAUGGGGACGGGACAUGGGGAGGACACAAAGACAUGGGUGUGUCACAAGGACACAGAGGGGACAUGAAGACAUGCGAGCGACAGGGGGACAUGUACAGGACAUGGAGAGCACGUGGUGACACAGGGGACAUGGUGCUGGGCUGUCCGUGCAGGUGCUAGUGGAGGUGACAGUGGAGGUGACACAGAACCACUCAUGGGGCACUGUGCUGCAGCUGGGGGCCAGUGCCAGUAGGUGUGCACAGGAGGACAUGUGGGGAUGGGGAGGCAUACAGCAGGGGAUGGGGUGUGGGGAGGGAUGGAAGGACAAGGCAACAGCAGGGACAGUGGGGGGACGGGGGGACAGUGGGGGGUGACAGCAAGAGCGAUGUUGGGGUGAUGCUGGGGGAGUGAAACCGGGGGUGACACUGGGGGCUGAAGGUGGGGUGACACCAGGGGUGACACUGGGAUGACACUGGGGUGAUGUUGCAGAGUGACCCUGGAGAGUGAUGCUGGGGGAUGAUGUUGGGGUAUUUCUGGGGUGUGACACCAGGGAAAGACGCUGGCAGGUGACACCGAGGUGACGUUAGGGUGCUGCAGGGGAGUGACAUUGUUGGGGUGAUGCUGGGGAUGAAACUGGGGUGACACUGGGGUGACGCUGGGGAGUGAUAUUGAGAAGUGAUGUUGGAGUAUCACAGGGGGUGACAUCAGGGAGUGGGGCUGGGGACACAUUCUUGGGGUGAUGCUGGGGGGUGCAGUGGUAAUGCUAAAUCAGGACCUGAAAGAGUGAUUGAGCACCUGGUGGGAAGGCAGGCACAUACAAUGCCGCUGAGUGACAGGAAGGGGUGGAGCCAGGAUCCACCAUUUCCCAGCCCUCAUUUAAGGGUUGGCAGUGGAGGUGAGGGGAUUUUGCUGGGGACCUCUGUCACUGUGAGCACUUCCAGUGCAGAGGAUGUGUGAUAUUGUUGAGGUGAUGCUUGGGGGUUACUUUGGGGUGAUGUUGGGGAGUGAUGCUGGGGGUUGACACCUGGGUGUGAGUUUUGGGCAUGACAUUUAUGGGCAUUAUUGGGGUGAUGCUGGGGUUGACACUGGGGGUGCACACCCGGUGGAUGCACUGGGGUGACCUUGGGGUGACACUGGGUUGAUGUUGGGAUGUGACAUUGGGGGGUGACUGGAGUAUCACUGAGAUGUGACACUGGGGUGUGAUAUUGUUGUGGUAACACUGGGGGGUUACGUUUGGGUGUCGUUGUUGGGGGUGUCUUUGGGGUGACACUAGAGUGUUGUUGGAGUGACAUUGUAAGGUGAGGUGAUAAUAGGGAGUGACAUCAUGAGUUGAUGUUGGGGUAUCACCAGGUGGUGACAUCACAGAGUGACACUGUGGUGACAUUGCAGUGAUGUUGGGAAGUAAUGUUGGGGGUGAUGUUGGGGUAUCACUGGGAGGUAAUAUCAGGGAGUGAUGCUGGAGGUGACACUGGGCUGGCAUUGUUGGGCUGACACUGGGGUGAUGUUGGGAGGUGUGUCUUGGGGGUGGUGUUAGGAUGACACUUGGGGAGACACUGUGGGGUGACACUGGGGUUGUGAUGUUGGGAGAAUGCUUGGGGGUUACUUCGGGGUGAUCCUGGGGCAUGAUAUUUUUGGAGUGACACUGGGGUGUGAUGCUGGGGGGACACUGGAGUGACACUGAGGUGAUGUUGGGGUAUUGCUGGGUGGUGACAUUGUUGGGGUGACACUGGGGUAAUAUUGCAGUGACAGUGGGGUUAUGUUGGGGUAUCACUGGGGGGGAUGACAUCAGGGAGUGACGCAGGGCAGUGACAUUGCUAGGGUGACGUUGGGGUGAUGCUGGGGGACACAAGGGAGUGACACUGGGGUGACACGGUUGAUGUUGGGGGGUGUAGUUUGGGGGUGAUGUAGGGUGGUGAUGUUGCUGGGACACUGGAUGGUUACCUUAGGGUGAUGAUGGGGUGAGACUGGGGUGAUGUUGGUAUCACUGGGGGGUGACGUUAAGGAGUGACGCUGGGAGUUAACAAUAGGGUGACAUUGUUGCGACACCGCUGGUGUUCGGGAGCGAUGCUGGAGGCUGAUUUGGGGGUAUCGCUGGGCAGUUACACAGUUGGGGUGAUACUGGGGUUAUGUUGGGUAGUGACAUUGGGGGAUGAUGUUGGGGCCAGUACCCCACCCCACGAAUCUCCAAGCUGCUCAGUUUCCACUGCUGCCGUGAGCACUUUUAAAUGGCUGGGGGAUGGUGCAGGGCUGGGAGUGGAGGGGGAUACCUGUCAGUCCACUGUGGCAGUGAGCAAAUUGGAUGCCAUGAGGCCCUCAGGGGCAGCUGUGAGCCAAACCGGUCGGUUCCCUGGGCUGUGAGUGUGGACGGAGAUGAAACGGCGCGAAACGGAUGAGGGACACCGUGAGACCUGCAGCGGAGCAAGACAUGCUCGCACUGCCCUCGAGCUGCUACGGAAAAGGAAGUCGACCACCUGCGCAGAGCAGCGCCUGUAGUACCGAAUUUUCGUCAAUAGGCGGCAGCAGCGAGUGCGGCAGCGCUAGUGCGCGUGCUUCGCUCUGGGGCGGGCACCUGUCAAUCCCGUGCCGCAAUUAGCCAAUCGGAUGCCGCGGCAUGCGCAGGGGCAGGCUGGAGCCGAAACGGCCUGUGCUCGGCGCGGGUUCGGGCAUGAAAAGGCGGAAAUGGACAAGAGGGAUCAGAAUUUAGAAGGGGGGAAUAUUACUGAGCUGACGGUCCAAGAAUUGACUGCUCACCUGCACUUGAGUAGUUCGCACUAAUGGGUGCUCUUUAUAAGUUUUAAUGCGGAGGGGUGCUAUCACGUGGAGGACUAAUCACAAUAAAGAAUGGCGGACUCGCUGCGCAGAGCGGUCAGAAUUCAGAUACGCCACUUCCGCAUGUCUCCGCGCAUGCGUUAUGUUGCCUGCAGGACAAAACAUAGACCGUGGCAGUUCUGCGUAUUGGCCACGCGGUGGCAGCAGAGACUGCGGAAAGAGCUUCUGCGGGCUUGACGCGCGUCUGCAGCACAGUCACUGUGGUCUCUCUUUUGAUGACGGGGAGAACACAAAGGUAGAAGAGGAGGGGGAGAAAAGGGAAAAAAAAAAAAAAAAAAAAGACGAAGAAAACAAAGGAAACUUCUCCAAACCCAGGAAACCUGUGCUAAGUGCUUAUGAAUAUCUGUGAAAAAUGAUCAAAUUGAUGUUGUCAUGCUUUUUUUUGUCAGCAUCUGUUACAUAGAGUUUGCUGCGUGAAUGUUUAAAAACAAACUACUGUGCUAAUUUCAUGAUAACGAAAUGAAAGCACAUAAGCCCCAGCGCAAACACCAGACUCCCAGUAAUGUCUCUCUUUAUCGCCUCACCGUGGAAAUCAAACAUUCCCUGUACAAGACUCAACCUGCCAAGGAAUUAAAAUGGAAGAGACCUUGUUCAUAA
This is a long non-coding RNA of Numida meleagris (helmeted guineafowl), 6829 nucleotides long. RefSeq lists it as uncharacterized. The transcript is spliced from 2 exons. NCBI's taxonomy places the organism in Eukaryota, Metazoa, Chordata, Aves, Galliformes, Numididae. The record is from RefSeq and is a predicted model, not a curated record.